RNAcentral lists this ribosomal RNA (476 nucleotides) under Filifactor villosus. RNAcentral's name for it is "bacterial SSU rRNA". It matches the Rfam family "Bacterial small subunit ribosomal RNA", at positions 9 to 465 of the family's 1533-position model. The record is from RNAcentral. Lineage: Bacteria; Bacillati; Bacillota; Clostridia; Peptostreptococcales; Filifactoraceae.
GAGUUUGAUUAUGGCUCAGGAUGAACGCUGGCGGCGUGCUUAACACAUGCAAGUCGAACGGGCGAAUUAUAUCGGAGGUCUUCGGGCCGAAGAGAUAAUAAGCUAGUGGCGGACGGGUGCGUAACGUGUGGGUAAUCUGCCUUUGUCAUAGGAAUAACUGCUUGAAAAAGUAGCUAAUACCAAAUAACAUAUCGUAUAGGCAUCUAUAAGAUAUCAAAGAGAAAUCGGACAAAGAUGAGCCCGCAUCUGAUUAGCUGGUUGGUAGGGUAAAAGCCUACCAAGGCGACGAUCAGUAGCCGGCCUGAGAGGGUGAACGGCCACAUUGGAACUGAGACACGGUCCAAACUCCUACGGGAGGCAGCAGUGGGGAAUAUUGCACAAUGGGGGGAACCCUGAUGCAGCAACGCCGCGUGAGUGAAGAAGGCUUUCGAGUCGUAAAACUCUGUUGUAAGGGAAGAUAAUGACGUNCUAAANAG